Long non-coding RNA from Rosa rugosa (rugosa rose), 1012 nucleotides. RefSeq lists it as uncharacterized. NCBI's taxonomy places the organism in Eukaryota, Viridiplantae, Streptophyta, Magnoliopsida, Rosales, Rosaceae. The record is from RefSeq and is a predicted model, not a curated record. The transcript has 4 exons.
GAAAUUGUUCCUCAUGCAGCACUUGGAGGUGUCUUGGGUAUAAGCAAGGCAGCACCAUGGUUUUCUUUUAGACUCAGGACCACGUACCCCAUUCUUAUCUGAGGACAAUACCUGGAGUCUUGGAGAUGAUUUCCCUCCAGAAUAUAACAAGUUCAAUAUGCUUUAGUUGAGAACAGUUGACUGCAUAGCUUACCAGUUUGUAGUCGCUCCUGACAGGCGACGGAGAAAUCUCAGCGUCGCACCUCGAACCGGAGACGGGUAAAUGGUCCAGCUAAUCUGUCUGUUGACUAACCAAGGACCAGCCAACGUCCAACUUGGACUAACAGCGCACGUGAGCACGUGGUGUCGGUGCUCAAACACUGUUGGCGCCUCUUAAUACACUCCACCUUGAAAAGCCCCGAACGACUCUGCUCUUCUCCACGAACUGUGGCUCUUCUCAUCGACUCGGGUAAAUCAUCCAUAAUUUCAAGUACCAAGAAUGCUCGAGAAGGUAUUUUGGUUGGGCUGCAACAGUUCCAUAGAGGAACUUCUGCAGGUCAUCAAAGCGGUGUGAUCGUUAGUCAUCUGGGGGUGGUUUAUGGCGGUGACUUUUCCCUAUAAAUAGGCAAGCUUAAUCUCAGGCAGGCUUGGCUCCGUCACCACUUAGGGGGUUGAGCGAUCGGUGUUCCUGCGGAACUGAGUCUCCGUCCAAGUGAGAGACCCAAGGGCACCGAUUGCUGGCGGUGCGGCGGGGCUACAACGCUGGAGAUCGGCCAGUGAUGGGGCAGAGAGUGACACCGGCCCCCAGUCUUUCCCACCAAAAUUUGACUAGCCCGUCAAUCCCGGUGGCAGUGAUCUUCUUUCGGAGCUCCUCAUAUUCCAAAGAAUCAGACUUGGUUGGAGGGGUGACGAGGAUAGGGAUGUGUAUCUCAUUCAUGUGCUGGGAUGUAUAUCGCAUUUGUAUGCUAGGAUGUGUAUCGUAGUUGUAUGCUAGGAUGUAUAUCGCAGUUAUAUGCUAGGGUGUAUAUCGCAU